Molecule: transfer RNA, 90 nt
Filed under: Rhodospirillaceae bacterium
Lineage: Bacteria; Pseudomonadati; Pseudomonadota; Alphaproteobacteria; Rhodospirillales; Rhodospirillaceae
Description: tRNA-Ser
Rfam family: tRNA
About the family: Transfer RNA (tRNA) molecules are approximately 80 nucleotides in length.
Source: RNAcentral
GGACGGUUGCCUGAGUGGUUGAAAGGACCGGUCUUGAAAACCGGCAGAGGUUAACGCCUCUCGUGGGUUCGAAUCCCACACCGUCCGCCA